Molecule: transfer RNA, 71 nt
Filed under: Hymenobacter sp.
Lineage: Bacteria; Pseudomonadati; Bacteroidota; Cytophagia; Cytophagales; Hymenobacteraceae
Description: tRNA-Lys
Rfam family: tRNA
About the family: Transfer RNA (tRNA) molecules are approximately 80 nucleotides in length. Their secondary structure includes four short double-helical elements and three loops (D, anti-codon, and T loops).
Source: RNAcentral
GGGUGUAUAGCUUAGUGGUAAAGCAGUGGACUUUUAAUCCGUUGACCAAGGUUCGAUACCUUGUACGCUCA